UUUUUCAGAGAAUCCUCAAGAGACCCGUCUCUGGGAUGAAUGCAGCCUGUGGGCUGAUAAAGGAAGCUUUAGUGCAUUCAAUUCCUGAGCCCCCGCCCAGCUGUCCUGAGGACAAAGCCUGCAGAAGCCUGAUUGGGAGCACUGAAAGCAUAGUCCUCCGUCUCAUGCCUUUCUGCUGAGAUGUCAGCCUCUGCAGAAGCUGAAGGCCAUCAGAACUUUAGACGGCCUGUCCAAUCAUCUGGAAUUUAGGCUCCACCAGCUGUCUGAAAGUGACCCACAGAUGAUAAGAGCAGGACAAGUCCUUCCUAUCAGGGGCCAGAGGUCUCUCUCAAAGUCUCCUGUGACUCUCCCUCCUCCUCCCUGCCCAUCACCACUACCCCAUGUCAUCCGGCUGAUCCCACUUCAGUUCAGCUCACCACCUGUAAAUACAUCUGGCUUCCUGAAUACACGCAACCUA
Non-coding RNA from Sus scrofa (pig), 457 nucleotides. The record is from RefSeq and is a predicted model, not a curated record. NCBI's taxonomy places the organism in Eukaryota, Metazoa, Chordata, Mammalia, Artiodactyla, Suidae.